Trichosporon asahii var. asahii CBS 8904 is the source of this 117-nucleotide transfer RNA. It matches the Rfam family "tRNA". Rfam says of the family: Transfer RNA (tRNA) molecules are approximately 80 nucleotides in length. Their secondary structure includes four short double-helical elements and three loops (D, anti-codon, and T loops). Further hydrogen bonds mediate the characteristic L-shaped molecular structure. tRNAs have two regions of fundamental functional importance: the anti-codon, which is responsible for specific mRNA codon recognition, and the 3' end, to which the tRNAs corresponding amino acid is attached (by aminoacyl-tRNA synthetases). tRNAs cope with the degeneracy of the genetic code in two manners: having more than one tRNA (with a specific anti-codon) for a particular amino acid; and 'wobble' base-pairing, i.e. permitting non-standard base-pairing at the 3rd anti-codon position. The record is from Rfam. NCBI's taxonomy places the organism in Eukaryota, Fungi, Basidiomycota, Tremellomycetes, Trichosporonales, Trichosporonaceae.
GGCGUUGUGGCGGAGUGGUUAACGCGGUUGACUCGAAUGGUCUCGAUCUCUCAAGAGCUCGAGGGAUUCUGAUAUCAACUUCCUUCGGGAGCGCAUGUUCGAAUCAUGUCAACGUCG